AUACUGAAUCAGUGCCCGUAGAGCCGAAAC
RNAcentral lists this non-coding RNA (30 nucleotides) under Rattus norvegicus (Norway rat). Lineage: Eukaryota; Metazoa; Chordata; Mammalia; Rodentia; Muridae. The record is from RNAcentral.